RNAcentral lists this non-coding RNA (22 nucleotides) under Arabidopsis thaliana (thale cress). Lineage: Eukaryota; Viridiplantae; Streptophyta; Magnoliopsida; Brassicales; Brassicaceae. The record is from RNAcentral.
UCAACCUUGAUUCCAUCUGCAC